Molecule: transfer RNA, 65 nt
Filed under: marine eukaryotic metagenome
Rfam family: tRNA
About the family: Transfer RNA (tRNA) molecules are approximately 80 nucleotides in length. Their secondary structure includes four short double-helical elements and three loops (D, anti-codon, and T loops).
Source: RNAcentral
CUUAGCUCAGUUGGAUAGAGCAACGGCCUUCUAAGCCGCAGGUCGAGGGUUCGAAUCCUUCAGGG